UUAUACAUGCAAGUCGUACGAGGGCUUUUAGCCUUAGUGGCGGACGGGUGAGUAACACGUGAGAAUCUGCCCUCAGGAGGAGGAUAACAGCUGGAAACGGUUGCUAAUACUCCAUAUGCCGAGAGGUGAAAGGAUUUAUCCACCUAAGGAGGAGCUCGCGUCUGAUUAGCUAGUUGGUAGGGUAAUGGCCUACCAAGGCGACGAUCAGUAGCUGGUUUGAGAGGAUGAUCAGCCACACUGGGACUGAGACACGGCCCAGACUCCUACGGGAGGCAGCAGUAGGGAAUUUUCCGCAAUGGGCGAAAGCCUGACGGAGCAAUACCGCGUGAGGGAUGACGGCCUGUGGGUUGUAAACCUCUUUUCUCAAGGAAGAAGUUCUGACGGUACUUGAGGAAUAAGCAUCGGCUAACUCUGUGCCAGCAGCCGCGGUAAUACAGAGGAUGCAAGCGUUAUCCGGAAUCACUGGGCAUAAAGCGUCUGUAGGUGGUUUGGUAAGUCUGCUGUUAAAGACUGGGGCUCAACCCCAGAAAAGCAGUGGAAACUGCCAGACUUGAGUGUGGUAGAGGUAGAGGGAAUUCCUAGUGUAGCGGUGAAAUGCGUAGAUAUUAGGAAGAACACCAAUGGCGAAGGCACUCUACUGGACCAUAACUGACACUGAGAGACGACAGCUAGGGGAGCAAAUGGGAUUAGAUACCCCAGUAGUCCUAGCCGUAAACGAUGGAUACUAGAUGUUGCACGUAUUAACCCGUGCAGUAUCGUAGCUAAGGCGUUAAGUAUCCCGCCUGGGAAGUACGCUCGCAAGAGUGAAACUCANAGGAAUUGACGGGGGCCCGCACAAGCGGUGGAGUAUGUGGUUUAAUUCGAUGCAACGCGAAGAACCUUACCAGGGCUUGACAUGUCACAAAUCUUUCUGAAAGGAAAGAGUGCCU
RNAcentral lists this ribosomal RNA (929 nucleotides) under uncultured cyanobacterium. Its description in RNAcentral is "bacterial SSU rRNA". It matches the Rfam family "Bacterial small subunit ribosomal RNA", at positions 49 to 1019 of the family's 1533-position model. Lineage: Bacteria; Bacillati; Cyanobacteriota. The record is from RNAcentral.